RNAcentral lists this ribosomal RNA (252 nucleotides) under uncultured bacterium. RNAcentral describes it as "partial 16S ribosomal RNA". It matches the Rfam family "Bacterial small subunit ribosomal RNA", at positions 525 to 776 of the family's 1533-position model. The record is from RNAcentral.
ACGAAGGGGGCUAGCGUUGCUCGGAAUCACUGGGCGUAAAGGGUGCGUAGGCGGGUCUUUAAGUCAGAGGUGAAAUCCUGGAGCUCAACUCCAGAACUGCCUUUGAUACUGAGGAUCUUGAGUUCGGGAGAGGUGAGUGGAACUGCGAGUGUAGAGGUGAAAUUCGUAGAUAUUCGCAAGAACACCAGUGGCGAAGGCGGCUCACUGGCCCGAUACUGACGCUGAGGCACGAAAGCGUGGGGAGCAAACAGG